UGGGGAAUAUUGCACAAUGGGCGAAAGCCUGAUGCAGCAACGCCGCGUGAGCGAGGAAGGCCUUUGGGUCGUAAAGCUCUGUCGAGGAGGAAGAUAAUGACGGUACUCCUCGAGGAAGCCCCGGCUAACUACGUGCCAGCAGCCGCGGUAAUACGUAGGGGGCGAGCGUUAUCCGGAAUUAUUGGGCGUAAAGAGUGCGUAGGUGGUUUUUUAAGCGUGGGGUGAAAGGCAAUAGCUUAACUAUUGUAAGCCCCGCGAACUGGGAGACUUGAGUGCAGGAGAGGAAAGCGGAAUUCCUAGUGUAGCGGUGAAAUGCGUAGAUAUUAGGAGGAACACCAGUGGCGAAGGCGGCUUUCUGGACUGUAACUGACACUGAGGCACGAAAGCGUGGGGAGCAAACAGG
RNAcentral lists this ribosomal RNA (403 nucleotides) under uncultured bacterium. RNAcentral describes it as "bacterial SSU rRNA". It matches the Rfam family "Bacterial small subunit ribosomal RNA", at positions 355 to 776 of the family's 1533-position model. The record is from RNAcentral.